RNAcentral lists this long non-coding RNA (1359 nucleotides) under Marmota monax (woodchuck). The record is from RNAcentral. Lineage: Eukaryota; Metazoa; Chordata; Mammalia; Rodentia; Sciuridae.
ACAUCAUUGUACUUUAAAAGGGCUCUGUGAGGUCAAGAGAGGCCAGUGUGUAGAAGGAGAAUCCUAAGCCUAGUAAGGUGGAGGUGCCCAGGUCAGGAUGGCAUUUCUCUGUUGUACCUCUCAAGAAUGAAUGGCUUGCCAGGCACAAUGGUGCACACCUGUAAUCCCAGCAGCUCAAGAGACUGAGAAAGGAGGAUUGCAAGUUCAAAGCCAGCCUCAGCCAUUAGCAAGGCCCUAAGCAACUUAUUGAGACCCUAUCUCUAAAUAAAAUAUAAAAAAAGUGUUGGGGAUGUGGCUCAGUGGUUAAGUGUCCCUGGGUUCAAUUCCUGGUACCAAAAAUAUGGCUUUCUAAAUACCACCAAGGCUAGAUAAUCUUAGAAAUGGAAGAUCAGGAAGAGCCUGCAGAGUCAUUUCUAGGUCCUUCUCUUUCCUUCCUAUCUUUGUCUCACAGUUUGCACAGAGAUCACAAAUUGGCAAUUUACAAACAAGUUUUUCUUUUUAAAGUGCUUGGCAUUAGUUUCCAAGACUUAUAAGUUAGCAGAUUUCAUAUAAUUGAAUAUGCUUUUAUAUAAUAUUUCAGGAUUCUACCUCUCUAGAGAACUGAGGAUUAUCUGGCAAGAGCCAGCCUUCAUUAUAGCAAAGCCACAGUUAGAUGGGACCAAGCAGCCACACUUGUCUUUAAUAGAGUAGGAGUCCCUCAUUUACCUUAGCUCUUGUCAGCACACUCUCUUUCUCCUUUACCUACAAUAUUUAGAUAAUCUUGUUAGGUCAGGGUAGGAAUGACUUGGUUGAGUGACUGGUGGGCUUCCGGGGCCCUUCCAAGGGCCUGAGAACUAUGACUAUUAUAGAAAUUUGAUCCAAUCUCUGAACCCACACAUGUAAAUGAAGUACUUAAGUGGCUUUGUCAUGAAAGAAAUCAGGGUACAUUGGAGAAUCCAGCAUGUUUGAGUGCCAAUCUGGGUCUACCCUGAGUCACUGAGAAGGCUCAGUUUAUCAGAAAGAAAAACCUUGCCUACUGAUUUGAGAUUUACUUGCUUCUAGAAGGGAAUCCAGAUAACACAGGAUUACUUGAAGGUUCAAACUUGGAUACUUUUUAUACUCAUCACUUUUUCUGUCUUUCCCAGAAUCAACUAGUAUGAGUUGAUGAAGAGUAAUAGCUUUCAAGGUUUCAGUCUAUCGGUAGUUCGGCACUUCACGCUCUCUGUAUUGAAGUGCUUGCAAAUGCUUUACGUAGAGAAAAUCAUCCACUGUGAUCUCAAGCCUGUGAGUAUAACCUCUGUCCUGCCAGGAGAGCAGGUUCUCUUUAGUGGCAGUUAGGGCAGCCAGCAUGGCCAGGGCUUCCAGAGUGGCAGCCCUAAA